This 507-nucleotide ribosomal RNA is filed under the name uncultured soil bacterium. RNAcentral's name for it is "bacterial SSU rRNA". It matches the Rfam family "Bacterial small subunit ribosomal RNA", at positions 26 to 507 of the family's 1533-position model. The record is from RNAcentral.
AGAUUGAACGCUGGCGGAAUGCUUUACACAUGCAAGUCGAACGGCAGCACGGGACUCAGGCAACUGAGUCCUGGUGGCGAGUGGCGAACGGGUGAGUAACAUAUCGGAACGUACCCAGUCGUGGGGGGAUAACUCUCCGAAAGGAGAGCUAAUACCGCAUACGUCCUGAGGGAGAAAGCGGGGGACCUAAGGGUAACUGAGGGCCUCGCGCGAAUGGAGCGGCCGAUAUCAGAUUAGCUAGUUGGCGGGGUAAAGCCCACCAAGGCAACGAUCUGUAGCUGGUCUGAGAGGACGACCAGCCACACUGGGACUGAGACACGGCCCAGACUCCUACGGGAGGCAGCAGUGGGGAAUUUUGGACAAUGGGCGCAAGCCUGAUCCAGCAAUGCCGCGUGCAGGACGAAGGCCUUCGGGUUGUAAACUGCUUUUAGACGGUAACGAACGGUCCUUUCUAAUACGAGGGUCUAAGUGACGGUACCGUAAGAAUAAGCACCGGCUAACGACGUA